This 472-nucleotide ribosomal RNA is filed under the name uncultured bacterium. RNAcentral describes it as "bacterial SSU rRNA". It matches the Rfam family "Bacterial small subunit ribosomal RNA", at positions 335 to 799 of the family's 1533-position model. The record is from RNAcentral.
ACUCCUACGGGAGGCAGCAGUGGGGAAUAUUGGACAAUGGGGGAAACCCUGAUCCAGCGAUGCCGCGUGUGUGAAGAAGGCCUGAGGGUUGUAAAGCACUUUAGUUGGGGAGGAAGUUGAGUAGUUUAAGAGAUAACUUAAUUGACGUUACCCAAAGAAUAAGCACCGGCUAACUCCGUGCCAGCAGCCGCGGUAAUACGGAGGGUGCAAGCGUUAAUCGGAAUUACUGGGCGUAAAGCGCGCGUAGGCGGUAAGUUAAGUUGGAUGUGAAAGUCCCGGGCUCAACCUGGGAAGGCCAUUCGAUACUGGCUAACUAGAAUACAGUAGAGGUAAGUGGAAUUUCCAGUGUAGCGGUGAAAUGCGUAGAGAUUGGAAGGAACACCAGUGGCGAAGGCGGCUUACUGGACUGAUAUUGACGCUGAGGUGCGAAGGCGUGGGUAGCGAACAGGAUUAGAUACCCUGGUAGGCUCUG